Molecule: ribosomal RNA, 492 nt
Filed under: uncultured bacterium
Lineage: Bacteria
Description: partial 16S ribosomal RNA
Rfam family: Bacterial small subunit ribosomal RNA
Source: RNAcentral
AGUGAACGCUGGCGGUAGGCCUAACACAUGCAAGUCGAACGGCAGCACAGUAAGAGCUUGCUCUUACGGGUGGCGAGUGGCGGACGGGUGAGGAAUACAUCGGAAUCUACUUUUUCGUGGGGGAUAACGUAGGGAAACUUACGCUAAUACCGCAUACGACCUACGGGUGAAAGCAGGGGAUCUUCGGACCUUGCGCGAUUGAAUGAGCCGAUGUCGGAUUAGCUAGUUGGCGGGGUAAAGGCCCACCAAGGCGACGAUCCGUAGCUGGUCUGAGAGGAUGAUCAGCCACACUGGAACUGAGACACGGUCCAGACUCCUACGGGAGGCAGCAGUGGGGAAUAUUGGACAAUGGGCGCAAGCCUGAUCCAGCCAUACCGCGUGGGUGAAGAAGACCUUCGGGUUGUAAAGCCCUUUUGUUGGGAAAGAAAAGCAGCAGGUUAAUACCCCGCUGUUCUGACGGUACCCAAAAAAUAAGCACCGGCUAACUUCGUG